RNAcentral lists this ribosomal RNA (432 nucleotides) under denitrifying bacterium W9b. RNAcentral's name for it is "bacterial SSU rRNA". It matches the Rfam family "Bacterial small subunit ribosomal RNA", at positions 12 to 488 of the family's 1533-position model. The record is from RNAcentral. Lineage: Bacteria; Pseudomonadati; Pseudomonadota; Alphaproteobacteria. RNAcentral also lists the same sequence under 2 other names.
UUUGAUCCUGGCUCAGAGCGAACGCUGGCGGCAGGCUUAACACAUGCAAGUCGAGCGGGCGUAGCAAUACGUCAGCGGCAGACGGGUGAGUAACGCGUGGGAACGUACCUUUUGGUUCGGAACAACACAGGGAAACUUGUGCUAAUACCGGAUAAGCCCUUACGGGGAAAGAUUUAUCGCCGAAAGAUCGGCCCGCGUCUGAUUAGCUAGUUGGUGAGGUAAUGGCUCACCAAGGCGACGAUCAGUAGCUGGUCUGAGAGGAUGAUCAGCCACAUUGGGACUGAGACACGGCCCAAACUCCUACGGGAGGCAGCAGUGGGGAAUAUUGGACAAUGGGCGCAAGCCUGAUCCAGCCAUGCCGCGUGAGUGAUGAAGGCCCUAGGGUUGUAAAGCUCUUUUGUGCGGGAAGAUAAUGACGGUACCGCAAGAAUA